Molecule: ribosomal RNA, 468 nt
Filed under: uncultured bacterium
Lineage: Bacteria
Description: partial 16S ribosomal RNA
Rfam family: Bacterial small subunit ribosomal RNA
Source: RNAcentral
GACGAACGCUGGCGGCGUGCUUAACACAUGCAAGUCGAACGGAAAGGCCCUGCUUUUGUGGGGUGCUCGAGUGGCGAACGGGUGAGUAACACGUGAGUAACCUGCCCUUGACUUUGGGAUAACUUCAGGAAACUGGGGCUAAUACCGGAUAGGAGCUCCUGCUGCAUGGUGGGGAUUGGAAAGUUUCGGCGGUUGGGGAUGGACUCGCGGCUUAUCAGUUUGUUGGCGGGGUAGUGGCUUACCAAGGCUUUGACGGGUAGCCGGCCUGGGAGGGUGACCGGCCACAUGGGGACUGAGAUACGGCCCAGUCUCCUACGGGAGGCAGCAGUGGGGAAUAUUGCACAAUGGGCGGACGCCUGUGGCAGCAACGCCGCGUGCGGGAUGACGGCCUUCUGGUUGUAAACCGCUUUCGCCUGUGACGAAGCGUGAGUGACGGUAAUGGGUAAAGAAGCACCGGCUAACUACGUG